This 900-nucleotide ribosomal RNA is filed under the name uncultured bacterium. RNAcentral's name for it is "bacterial SSU rRNA". It matches the Rfam family "Bacterial small subunit ribosomal RNA", at positions 33 to 916 of the family's 1533-position model. The record is from RNAcentral.
ACGCUGGCGGCGUGCCUAAUACAUGCAAGUAGAACGCUGAAGGAGGAGCUUGCUUCUCUGGAUGAGUUGCGAACGGGUGAGUAACGCGUAGGUAACCUGCCUGGUAGCGGGGGAUAACUAUUGGAAACGAUAGCUGAUACCGCAUAACAGUAGAUGUUGCAUGACAUUUGCUUAAAAGGUGCAAUUGCAUCACUACCAGAUGGACCUGUGUUGUAUUAGCUAGUUGGUGGGGUAACGGCUCACCAAGGCGACGAUACAUAGCCGACCUGAGAGGGUGAUCGGCCACACUGGGACUGAGACACGGCCCAGACUCCUACGGGAGGCAGCAGUAGGGAAUCUUCGGCAAUGGACGGAAGUCUGACCGAGCAACGCCGGGUGAGUGAAGAAGGUUUUCGGAUCGUAAAGCUCUGUUGUAAGAGAAGAACAGGUGUGAGAGUGGAAAGUUCACACUGUGACGGUAUCUUACCAGAAAGGGACGGCUAACUACGUGCCAGCAGCCGCGGUAAUACGUAGGUCCCGAGCGUUGUCCGGAUUUAUUGGGCGUAAAGCGAGCGCAGGCGGUUAGAUAAGUCUGAAGUUAAAGGCUGUGGCUUAACCAUAGUACGCUUUGGAAACUGUUUAACUUGAGUGCAAGAGGGGAGAGUGGAAUUCCAUGUGUAGCGGUGAAAUGCGUAGAUAUAUGGAGGAACACCGGUGGCGAAAGCGGCUCUCUGGCUUGUAACUGACGCUGAGGCUCGAAAGCGUGGGGAGCAAACAGGAUUAGAUACCCCUGGUAGUCCACGCCGUAAACGAUGAGUGCUAGGUGUUAGACCCUUUCCGGGGUUUAGUGCCGCAGCUAACGCAUUAAGCACUCCGCCUGGGGAGUACGACCGCAAGGUUGAAACUCAAAGGAAUUGACGG